AUGCACGCUGGCGGCGUGCCUAAUACAUGCAAGUCGCGCGAACGGACGAGAAGCUUGCUUCUCUGAUGUUAGCGGCGGACGGGUGAGUAACACGUGGAUAACCUACCUAUAAGACUGGGAUAACUUCGGGAAACCGGAGCUAAUACCGGAUAAUAUUUUGAACCGCAUGGUUCAAAAGUGAAAGACGGUCCUGCUGUCACUUAUAGAUGGAUCCGCGCUGCAUUAGCUAGUUGGUAAGGUAACGGCUUACCAAGGCAACGAUGCAUAGCCGACCUGAGAGGGUGAUCGGCCACACUGGAACUGAGACACGGUCCAGACUCCUACGGGAGGCAGCAGUAGGGAAUCUUCCGCAAUGGGCGAAAGCCUGACGGAGCAACGCCGCGUGAGUGAUGAAGGUCUUCGGAUCGUAAAACUCUGUUAUUAGGGAAGAACAUAUGUGUAAGUAACUGUGCACAUCUUGACGGUACCUAAUCAGAAAGCCACGGCUAACUACGUG
This 496-nucleotide ribosomal RNA is filed under the name uncultured bacterium. RNAcentral describes it as "partial 16S ribosomal RNA". It matches the Rfam family "Bacterial small subunit ribosomal RNA", at positions 29 to 507 of the family's 1533-position model. The record is from RNAcentral.